This 253-nucleotide ribosomal RNA is filed under the name uncultured bacterium. RNAcentral's name for it is "partial 16S ribosomal RNA". It matches the Rfam family "Bacterial small subunit ribosomal RNA", at positions 524 to 776 of the family's 1533-position model. The record is from RNAcentral.
UACGGGGGGGGCAAGCGUUGUUCGGAAUUACUGGGCGUAAAGGGCUCGUAGGCGGCCAACUAAGUCAGACGUGAAAUCCCUCGGCUUAACCGGGGAACUGCCUGUCAGACUGGAAGGCUUGAGACCGGGAGAGGUGAGUGGAAUUCCCAGUGUAGCGGUGAAAUGCGUAGAUAUUGGGAGGAACACCAGUGGCGAAGGCGGCUCACUGGACCGGAACUGACGCUGAGGCGCGAAAGCGUGGGGAGCAAACAGG